GACGAACGCUGGCGGCGUGCUUAACACAUGCAAGUCGAACGGAAAGGCCCUGCUUUUGUUGGGUGCUCGAUUGGCGAACGGGUGAGUAACACGUGAGUAACCUGCCCUUGACUUUGGGAUAACUUCAGGAAACUGGGGCUAAUACCGGAUAGGAGCUCCUGCUGCAUAGUGGUGGUUGGAAAGUUUCGGCGGUUGGGGAUGGACUCGCGGCUUAUCAGCUUGUUUGUGGGGUAGUGGCUUACCAAGGCUUUGACGGGUAGCCGGCCUGAGAGGGUUACCGGCCACAUUGGGACUGAGAUACGGCCCAGAAUCCUACGGGAGGCAGCAGUGGGGAAUAUUGCACAAUGGGCGGAAGCCUGAUGCAGCAACGCCGCGUGCGGGAUGACGGCCUUCGGGGUGUAAACCGCUUUCGCCUGAGACGAAGCGUGAGUGACGGUAAUGGGUAAAGAAGCACCGGCUAACUACGUG
RNAcentral lists this ribosomal RNA (468 nucleotides) under uncultured bacterium. RNAcentral's name for it is "partial 16S ribosomal RNA". It matches the Rfam family "Bacterial small subunit ribosomal RNA", at positions 28 to 507 of the family's 1533-position model. The record is from RNAcentral.